UACGUAGGUGGCGAGCGUUGUCCGGAUUUAUUGGGUUUAAAGGGUGCGUAGGCGGCUUUGUAAGUCAGUGGUGAAAUACUCCAGCUUAACUGGAGGGGUGCCAUUGAUACUGCGGAGCUUGAGUACAGAUGAGGUAGGCGGAAUUGACGGUGUAGCGGUGAAAUGCAUAGAUAUCGUCAAGAACACCGAUAGCGAAGGCAGCUUACUGGGCUGUAACUGACGCUGAUGCACGAAAAGUGUGGGGAUCAAAACAGG
This 255-nucleotide ribosomal RNA is filed under the name uncultured bacterium. RNAcentral's name for it is "partial 16S ribosomal RNA". It matches the Rfam family "Bacterial small subunit ribosomal RNA", at positions 524 to 776 of the family's 1533-position model. The record is from RNAcentral.